This 261-nucleotide ribosomal RNA is filed under the name uncultured bacterium. Its description in RNAcentral is "partial small subunit ribosomal RNA". It matches the Rfam family "Bacterial small subunit ribosomal RNA", at positions 26 to 285 of the family's 1533-position model. The record is from RNAcentral.
AGGACGAACGCUGGCGGCGUGCUUAACACAUGCAAGUCGAACGGUGAAGUCGGUGCUUGCACCGACUGAUCAGUGGCGAACGGGUGAGUAACACGUGAGUAACCUGCCCCCGACUCUGGGAUAACCCCGGGAAACCGGAGCUAAUACCGGAUACGAACCACUCAGGCAUCUGAGAGGUUGGAAAGAUUUAUCGGUCAGGGAUGGACUCGCGGCCUAUCAGCUUGUUGGUGGGGUAAUGGCCCACCAAGGCGACGACGGGUA